UUUUACGGUUCAUGAAAAUGAUUAAUAGGGAAGAUGAGUGUAAUUCUCACACGGUCCCGCCACUGUAAGAAUGAUGAAAGCAGCAUAUUACCACUAAAGAUUUUUCUUUGGGAAGGGCUGUAAGUAAGAUGAAUUUAAGUCAGGAGACCUGCCGUAUAAA
RNAcentral lists this non-coding RNA (160 nucleotides) under uncultured Fusobacterium sp. The record is from RNAcentral. Lineage: Bacteria; Fusobacteriati; Fusobacteriota; Fusobacteriia; Fusobacteriales; Fusobacteriaceae.